Non-coding RNA from Myotis davidii, 75 nucleotides. Lineage: Eukaryota; Metazoa; Chordata; Mammalia; Chiroptera; Vespertilionidae. The record is from Rfam.
GAUGGUUCUUGGGUGACACACCCAGGAAUCGGGCUCCCUCCUCUCUGGUUCCGGGUGCAUCACCUGAGAACCGCA